Molecule: long non-coding RNA, 527 nt
Filed under: Fukomys damarensis (Damara mole-rat)
Lineage: Eukaryota; Metazoa; Chordata; Mammalia; Rodentia; Bathyergidae
Description: lncRNA (ENSFDAG00000026659.1)
Source: RNAcentral
AGAAAAUAAAGUCCAUCUUGACUGCAAAGAGUGGAAAAUAGUAGCCAUAUUAUAUUGAUAUUUAUGGUCACUUGCACCUCUCUGCAGUCAGACCCAGGAAUUUCUCUCCUUCAGCUUCAACAAGGACAUAGUCCUCAAAUAUAUGACAAAUAUACCUGAUGGAUCUCACUAACAAGUACAGAAUCUGUAUAAUGAAGGAAGGUAUGAGUGUUAAUUGAUCAGCUUAUUCUGAGAACAGAUGUUAGAACCUUUUAGACUAUACUAAAAAAGCCAGCCAAUAUAUGCUAAAAGUUUAUAGUAUGCAUGAUAUAUUUACUGGUAGUACAGUGUAUUAUGUACAAAAGUGAGAAAUACUGAGUAAUUGAGUUAAAAUAUCCUGGUGUUACUAAUAUUUAUAAACAUAAUUCAGCAUUUUAACACUUCUUUAGGGCUGGGAAUUUAGUCAGUUGGUUCCGCCGCCUGCCUCACAAGCGCAAGGUCCUGAGUUUGAUCCCCGGUACCAAAAACAAACAACAAAAAACCCCCCA